RNAcentral lists this long non-coding RNA (2436 nucleotides) under Nicotiana tabacum (common tobacco). RNAcentral's name for it is "long non-coding RNA (NTAB_LNC014112)". Lineage: Eukaryota; Viridiplantae; Streptophyta; Magnoliopsida; Solanales; Solanaceae. The record is from RNAcentral.
UGUCUUACCGCGUUGGUUGGUUCGGGCCCAGAGUGGUUUUGGAGUGAAAUGAGACACUUAGUCUCUUAAUUGGAAGCUUAAGUUGGAAAAGUCGACCGGAUGUCGACUUGUGGGAAAACGACCUCGGAUUUGAAUUUUGAUGGUUCUGUUAGCUCCGUUAGGUGAUUUUGGACUUAGGAGCGCGUCCGGAAUGUGAUUUGGAGGUCCGUAGUAGAAUUAGGCUUGAAUUAGCGAAAGUUGGAAUUUUGGCGAUUUUGGCCGGCAGUGGAAAUUUUGAUAUCGGAGUCGGAUUGGAUUUCCGGAAGUUGAAAUAGGUUCGUGGUGCCAUUUUUGACUUGCGUGCAAAAUUUAAGGUCAAUCGGACGUGGUUUGGUAGGUUUCAGCGUCGUUUGUGUGUGUCCGGAUGUUGUUUUGAGUGAUUCGAAUGCUCGACUAAGUUCGUAUAGUGUUUUGGGACUUGAUGGUAUGUUUGGUUGAGGUCCCGGGGGGCUCGGGUGAGUUUCAGGUGGUUAACAGAUCAUUUUUGGCCUUGAUGAGAUAGCUAAUAUUCGUUGCUGCAUUUUUUUCUGGUUUCCUCUUAUGCGUUCGCGAGAGGAGCCUCGCGUUCGCGAAGAGUGUUUCUGAGUUGGUGAGAUUUUUCUCUACGCGUCCGCGAAGGAGAUGACGCGAACGCGAAGGUAUGGCAGUGUGUGCAUCGCGAAUGCGUGAGUGGCGUCGCGUUCACGAAAGGGAGUGAGGCAGCUGGGGACCCCCAGUCUUUUGUUCUACGCGUUCGCGAGGUGAGGGACGUGCUCGCGAAGGUCUGAGUUUGCAAAGCUUCGCGUUCGCGAAGAGUUAAGUUGAGAGGCAGUUUGAGUUAGUCUACGCGAACACGAGAGGACGGUCGCAUUCGCGAAGAAGGAAAUCUGGGUAGACAAUAUUAAUUUCAAAAACGAGGGUUUGAACCCAUUUUGCAUAUUUUGAACUAGAGAACACGGAAUUGGGCGAUUCUUGAAGGGAUUUUUGUGGAGUUGAUUGGGGUAAGUGAUUCCUACUUGGUUUUGGUUAAAACCCAUGAUUAUAUCUUUAAUUCUAUCAUCUAAUUUGUGAUUUGGGGUGAAAAAUUAGAGAAGAAGAUGAAGUGUUCUUGAGUUAAAUUUUUGGGAUUUUAAAUGGGAUUUUGUUAUCGGAUUGGAGUAAAUUUGGUAUGGUUAGACUCGGGAGUGAAUGGGCUUUCGGGUUUUGUGACUUUUGUCGGAUUUCGAGACGUGGGCCGGGGGGCGGGAUCGGGCCAAUUUCGGAUUUUUGGCUUAUAAUUUCGUGUUUUCUUGUGGGAUUGAUUCUUUUAGCUUAUAUUAAUUAUAUCGUACUGCUUGUGGCUGGAUUCGGGGAGUUUGGAGAUUGAUUCGAGAGGCAAGGGCAUUUCGGAAUAGGAUUUCUACGUUGUUGAGGUAAGUAACAGUCUUAAAUCUGGUUUUGAGGGUACAAAACCCCGAGAAUUGGUAUAAUGUGAAUAUUUGGAGAUGACGCGCAUGCUAGGUGACGGGCGUGCGAGCGUGCACCGUGAGGGAUUGUGACUUGGUUCGUCCCGUGAAACUGGAAAGUCGAAUAGCCAUUGUUAUUACUUGUUUUUCAUUGUUAUUACUUGUUUUUCUUUGUCUUUGAAUAAUUGACUACCUUUCAUGUUAGAAACCAUGCUUAGGCCAUAUGAUAUCACUGAUGGGACCCGCAGCGGUCGUAUACUUGUUGAAUUGACUGUCAAUUGUUGUCUUGUACUCAGUCAUAGUCUUACUUGUGUAUUAUAUCUCUGUUCCCUCUCAUUUCUUAUUGAUACUUGUUGUAUUCUCUGUUUGGGCUAAUUAUUAUGAUAUUCUGUGAGCCCGAGGGGCUGGAGAGAUUAGUGACUUAGAUAGGGCCUGAGUGACGAGCUGUGAGGUAUAUUGGAUCCGGUUGCACGCCGCAACAAGCCUUCGGACUAUAUAUAUGUGGAUCGGGUUGCACGCCGCAACAAUAUAGCGCUUGGGCUGAAGGAGCCCCUCUGGAGUCUGUACACCCCUAGUGAGCGCAGGUACCUAUUGAGAGUGUAUUGAGGGCUGAGAGCCGAGAGUAUGAGCUGUUGAGAUGAGUUGAGUGACUGUUGCUUUGAGAGGUUGUACUUGCAUUUAUUUAUUGUUGCACUUAGUUGCUAUCUGAUGUUGUGAAAUUUUCUGGAAGAUUCAUAUAUGUUUUAUUUGAGCCCGAACUGAUUUGACCUAUACCACCGGAUUUGAAAGCAUGUUCACUCUUUACUGAAAACUUUUGAAAUGAUAUGUAUUAUUAUAGUUCGUCACUGCUUCUCAGUUCCUUAUUUAAUUUUGUUACUUGCUGAGUUGGUUGUACUCAUGCUACACCCUGCACUUCAUGUGCAGAUCCAAAUGUGUACGGUUCUGGAGGACGCUGAGCUCAUGCGCGGGCUGA